RNAcentral lists this ribosomal RNA (118 nucleotides) under Serinus canaria (Common canary). The record is from RNAcentral. Lineage: Eukaryota; Metazoa; Chordata; Aves; Passeriformes; Fringillidae.
UGCAGAAGCCAUUCCCACCCCAGGCUAUGAUCUCGUCAGAUCUCAUAAGUGAAACAGGGCCAGGUCUUUCCAGGACUGCAGGAGACACCUCUGAGGGAACCCCAGGAAGUUCUUGGUG